This is a long non-coding RNA of Priapulus caudatus, 723 nucleotides long. RefSeq lists it as uncharacterized. The transcript is spliced from 4 exons. NCBI's taxonomy places the organism in Eukaryota, Metazoa, Priapulida, Priapulimorpha, Priapulimorphida, Priapulidae. The record is from RefSeq and is a predicted model, not a curated record.
GUGAAGCUAUAUAUAUACCGGCUGAUUGCACCUGCUCUGGUCGUUUUCCCGCCAACUCACCUGAUGCGGAUUGAUUUACGGACAGUCAUCGACGUUGUAGUUAAUUGAUGCACGAUGGAGUUCCAAUUGAAGUACAUCAUGGGGGCGUACAUCUAUCAGUACAUCAUGCAUUCAUUACGGACAUUCAUUCAUCGAUGUGGUAGUUCAUUGAGUUUCAAUUGAAGAAACACGCGGCUGACAGACGGACCGUCUAUACAACGUGCUAGUCUUCUCUGCGAUCGUGGCGCCCCCAUGCGGACCUUCAUCGACAACAGCAAUGACUUGUCCAUUAUGUUCUACGCGAUAUAAGAAACUAGCUGACGUGUACUAAGUGAAGAUUACUGUAUGCUCUGUCGCAUCUCCUAAACCUAUGUUCUAUCUACUGCUCCUCAGUUUCAUCUACUACCUCUCAGUUUCAUCUACUACCUCUCAGUUUCAUCUUCUAUUGAGAUGUUUAACACGAAUUGCUUAGUUUACAUACUAAGUUGUCGUGCGGUCGGAUCUCUGUAGUUCAUAUCGAUAGCCAGUCAAUCGUAUAUAAGUUAAUGUCAAUGAUAAGUCGAGUAUAUAUCAUUUGAUGCAGUAUUUUCUAAGUUCGCUUAGAUUCGCAUAGAUAAACUUAGUGCUUAGUGUUCAUUUUGUGUCAGUGUACGAUUGACUUCAGGAGUCGAGAGAAAAAGAAAA